RNAcentral lists this ribosomal RNA (253 nucleotides) under uncultured bacterium. Its description in RNAcentral is "partial 16S ribosomal RNA". It matches the Rfam family "Bacterial small subunit ribosomal RNA", at positions 524 to 776 of the family's 1533-position model. The record is from RNAcentral.
UACGUAGGGGGCAAGCGUUGUUCGGAUUCAUUGGGCGUAAAGGGUGCGUAGGUGGCGAGGUUAGUCAGGUGUGAAAUCUCGGGGCUCAACCCCGAAACUGCACUUGAUACUGCCUUGCUAGAGUACUGGAGAGGAGAUUGGAAUUUACGGUGUAGCAGUGAAAUGCGUAGAUAUCGUAAGGAAGACCAGUGGCGAAGGCGAAUCUCUGGACAGUUACUGACACUGAGGCACGAAGGCCAGGGGAGCAAACGGG